UGCAUAUCAAUAAGCGGAGGAAAAGAAACUAACAAGGAUUCCCCUAGUCAACGGCGAGUGAACCGGGAAGAGCUCAAAUUUGAAAUCUGGCGUGCUCAGUGCGUCCGAGUUGUAAUCUAUAGAGGCGUUUUCCGUGCCGGACUGUGUCCAAGUCCCUUGGAACAGGGUAUCAAAGAGGGUGAUAAUCCCGUACUUGACACAAUGACCGGUGCUCUGUGAUACGUCUUCUACGAGUCGAGUUGUUUGGGAAUGCAGCUCAAAAUGGGUGGUGAGUUCCAUCUAAAGCUAAAUAUUGGCGAGAGACCGAUAGCGAACAAGUACCGUGAGGGAAAGAUGAAAAGCACUUUGGAAAGAGAGUUAAACAGUACGUGAAAUUGUUGAAAGGGAAACGAUUGAAGUCAGUCGUGACUGAGAGGCUCAGCCGGUUCUGCCGGUGUAUUCCCCUCAGUCGGGUCAACAUCAGUUUUGUUCGGUGGAUAAGGGCAGUUGGAAGGUGGCACCCUCGGGUGUGUUAUAGCCAGCUGUCGCAUACAUCGGAUGAGACUGAGGAAUGCAGCUGCGCCUUUAUGGCCGGGGUUCGCCCACGUUCGAGCUUAGGAUGUUGACAUAAUGGCUUUAAACGACCCGUCUUGAAAACACGGACC
Molecule: ribosomal RNA, 644 nt
Filed under: Cryptococcus sp. (in: basidiomycete fungi)
Lineage: Eukaryota; Fungi; Basidiomycota; Tremellomycetes; Tremellales; Cryptococcaceae
Description: LSU rRNA
Rfam family: Eukaryotic large subunit ribosomal RNA
Source: RNAcentral